GGCUUUGCAGUUGUGAACCUGACACUAAUUGAUCUUCCUGGGCUUACAAAAGUAGCUAUUGAUGGCCAAUCUGAAAGCAUUGUGCAAGACAUUGAGAAUAUGGUCCGGUCCUAUAUUGAGAAGGUUCACAUAUCAAAGAAAGGAAAGAAGAAGAAAAAGUAGAUAUGACAAACUCAAUGAAAGAAGGCCGCUGGAGAAAUUCUCUUUUGGAGCAACAAUUAAAGCAUUGUCUUAGGAGUUUUUGAGUUGUUUUGGGAAAAGAUUGAAA
Camellia sinensis is the source of this 268-nucleotide non-coding RNA. The record is from RefSeq and is a predicted model, not a curated record. NCBI's taxonomy places the organism in Eukaryota, Viridiplantae, Streptophyta, Magnoliopsida, Ericales, Theaceae.